CAGCAGCCACGGUAAUACAGAGGGUGCGAGCGUUAAUCGGAUUUACUGGGCGUAAAGCGUGCGUAGGCGGCUAAUUGAGUCGGAUGUGAAAUCCCCGAGCUUAACUUGGGAAUUGCAUUCGAUACUGGUUAGCUAGAGUGUGGGAGAGGAUGGUAGAAUUCCAGGUGUAGCGGUGAAAUGCGUAGAGAUCUGGAGGAAUACCGAUGGCGAAGGCAGCCAUCUGGCCUAACACUGACGCUGAGGUACGAAAGCAUGGGGAGCAAACAGGAUUAGAUACCCGUGUAGUCCCUGUCUCUUAUAA
This 301-nucleotide ribosomal RNA is filed under the name uncultured bacterium. Its description in RNAcentral is "partial 16S ribosomal RNA". It matches the Rfam family "Bacterial small subunit ribosomal RNA", at positions 509 to 809 of the family's 1533-position model. The record is from RNAcentral.